AUUGAACGCUGGCGGCAUGCUUUACACAUGCAAGUCGAACGGUAACAGGCCUUCGGGUGCUGACGAGUGGCGGACGGGUGCGUAAUGCAACGGAACGUGCCCAGAGCCGGGGGAUAACGCAUCGCAAGCUGUGCUAAUACCGCAUGUGAUCUGAGGAUGAAAGCGGCGGACCAGGCAGCAAUGUUUGGCCUCGCGCCUUUCGAGCAGCCGAUGUCAGAUUAGGUAGUUGGUGGGGUAAAGGCCUACCAAGCCGACGAUCUGUAGCUGGUCUGAGAGGAUGACCAGCCACACUGGGACUGAGACACGGCCCAGACUCCUACGGGAGGCAGCAGUGGGGAAUUUUGGACAAUGGGCGCAAGCCUGAUCCAGCAAUGCCGCGUGAGGGAAGAAGGCCUUCGGAUUGUAAACCGCUUUUGUACGGAACGAAAAAGCUCUGGCUAAUACCUGGGGCUGAUGACGGUACCGAAAGAAUAAGCACCGGCUAACUACGUG
RNAcentral lists this ribosomal RNA (492 nucleotides) under uncultured bacterium. RNAcentral describes it as "partial 16S ribosomal RNA". It matches the Rfam family "Bacterial small subunit ribosomal RNA", at positions 30 to 507 of the family's 1533-position model. The record is from RNAcentral.